AUAUAUACUACUCCCCCUUUGAAAAACCCUCUUUCGUUAUACACUCCCCACCAGCCAUAACCCUCAGCUCUGACUCCCUAUGCUCUCCAGCCGUCAAAGCACUUGCCUCUGAACACUCUCACCUCACGCAGCCCUCGCCUAUAGCAGCUCUCGCCGUCGAAGGUCUGCUCAUCUCCUCGCGUCGCUAGAAGGCCGUUUCGGAGUUGCUACUCGCGAUGCCGUCUCUGCCCUCUUCGUGAAGCCCGGACCUGUCCUCGUCGUCAUCGUCGGUUCAGAUCUGCUGCUGGCUCGCCUUCUCGUCUCCAAUAGUGAGGGAAUUGAGAUUUAUUCAAAAGGGCAGUGAAACAUAUGUUGAUAAAUAGAAGGCAGUUUCUAUACCAGUGCUACACUUCAGGUGCCAGGCGGUCCAGCUAAUAAACAUUUGGAGCUAGACGAUGUGCUUGUUCGUAUCAAUGGAAAAGUAAGUGUGUCAUGAUACACAAUUUUAGUACAUCACAAAAUCAUGUAAUUCUUUCCAGUACAUCACAUCAGAUCAUUUCAUAUUAUGUCACGUAAUCAUAUAAUUCUUUCAACAAUUUUUUUUUUAGGUUUAGUAGUAGUUUCAUAAAUUAUGUGAUGAGUUUAGUCAUAACCUAUGAUCUUAUUGGUCAUAUCAAAUAAAUCUUUUAUACUUUAUGGUCAAUUGAACCAUGUUUCAUUCUUACAUUAUUUUCGAAUGUGUAUUUUACUAUUGACAUUUUGUUUUUAAGAUAUCAUUAUCUUGAUUUUUUAUU
Arachis ipaensis is the source of this 773-nucleotide non-coding RNA. The record is from RefSeq and is a predicted model, not a curated record. NCBI's taxonomy places the organism in Eukaryota, Viridiplantae, Streptophyta, Magnoliopsida, Fabales, Fabaceae.